RNAcentral lists this ribosomal RNA (189 nucleotides) under uncultured bacterium. RNAcentral describes it as "partial 16S rRNA". It matches the Rfam family "Bacterial small subunit ribosomal RNA", at positions 338 to 524 of the family's 1533-position model. The record is from RNAcentral.
CCUACGGGAGGCAGCAGUGAGGAAUAUUGGUCAAUGGGUGAAAGCCUGAACCAGCCAUCCCGCGUGAAGGACGACUGCCCUAUGGGUUGUAAACUUCUUUUGUAUAGGGAUAAACCUACCUUCGUGAGGGUAGCUGAAGGUACUAUACGAAUAAGCACCGGCUAACUCCGUGCCAGCAGCCGCGGUAAU